CUGGUAGCUCAGCUGGAUAGAGUGCAUGGCUACGAACCAUGAGGUCCCUGGUUCGAAUCCAGGCGGGCAGG
Molecule: transfer RNA, 71 nt
Filed under: Cyanobacteria bacterium HKST-UBA06
Lineage: Bacteria; Bacillati; Cyanobacteriota
Description: tRNA-Arg
Rfam family: tRNA (bases 4-64)
About the family: Transfer RNA (tRNA) molecules are approximately 80 nucleotides in length.
Source: RNAcentral